RNAcentral lists this transfer RNA (68 nucleotides) under Ceratitis capitata (Mediterranean fruit fly). RNAcentral describes it as "tRNA-Asn". Lineage: Eukaryota; Metazoa; Arthropoda; Insecta; Diptera; Tephritidae. The record is from RNAcentral.
UGUUGGCGCAGUGGUAGAACACUAGCCUGUUAAGUCAGGAUGCGUUGGUUCGAACCCUGCCAGAAGAA